This 514-nucleotide ribosomal RNA is filed under the name Brotula clarkae. Its description in RNAcentral is "partial large subunit ribosomal RNA". It matches the Rfam family "Bacterial large subunit ribosomal RNA", at positions 1839 to 2556 of the family's 2925-position model. Lineage: Eukaryota; Metazoa; Chordata; Actinopteri; Ophidiiformes; Ophidiidae. The record is from RNAcentral.
UAAAAUAAGAGGUCCGCUGCCCUGUGGCUUUAAGUUUACGGCCGCGGUAUUUUGCCGUGGAAGGUAGGCAAUCACUUGUUUUUUAAAUGGGGACCCGUUUGAAUGGCUAAAGGAGGGCUUACUGUUUUCCUUUUUCAGGUCAAAGAAAAUGAUUCCCCCGUGCAGAAGCGGGGGAAAUACAUAAGCGGGGAAGACCCUAAGGGAGCUUUAGGCCCCCAAGCAGCCCAUGUCAAAACCCACCCCCACACGGAAAUAAAAUAAAUGGGCCCUGCCCCUUUUGUUUUUGGUGGGGGGGACCCCGGGGGAAACACAAAACCCCCCACGCGGAAUGGGAGCCCCCCUCCCUAAAACCAAGAGCCACAGCUCUAAUUAACAGAAUUUCUGACCACUAUGAUCCGGCAAUGCCGAUCAACGGACCGAGUUACCCUAGGGAUAACAGCGCAAUCCUCUUUUAGAGCCCAUAUCGACAAGAGGGUUUACGACCUCGAUGUGGAUCAGGACAUCCUAAUGGUGC